RNAcentral lists this ribosomal RNA (1032 nucleotides) under Candidatus Phytoplasma fraxini. RNAcentral describes it as "bacterial SSU rRNA". It matches the Rfam family "Bacterial small subunit ribosomal RNA", at positions 245 to 1283 of the family's 1533-position model. Lineage: Bacteria; Bacillati; Mycoplasmatota; Mollicutes; Acholeplasmatales; Acholeplasmataceae. The record is from RNAcentral.
UUUGUUGGUGGGGUAAUGGCCUACCAAGACGAUGAUGUGUAGCUGGACUGAGAGGUCGAACAGCCACAUUGGGACUGAGACACGGCCCAAACUCCUACGGGAGGCAGCAGUAGGGAAUUUUCGGCAAUGGAGGAAACUCUGACCGAGCAACGCCGCGUGAACGAUGAAGUAUUUCGGUAUGUAAAGUUCUUUUAUUGAAGAAGAAAAAAUAGUGGAAAAACUAUCUUGACGUUAUUCAAUGAAUAAGCCCCGGCUAACUAUGUGCCAGCAGCCGCGGUAAGACAUAGGGGGCGAGCGUUAUCCGGAAUUAUUGGGCGUAAAGGGUGCGUAGGCGGUUAGGAAAGUCUAUAAUUUAAUUUCAGUGCUUAACGCUGUCUUGUUAUAGAAACUACCUUGACUAGAGUUAGAUAGAGGCAAGCGGAAUUCCAUGUGUAGCGGUAAAAUGUGUAAAUAUAUGGAGGAACACCAGAAGCGUAGGCGGCUUGCUGGGUCUUGACUGACGCUGAGGCACGAAAGCGUGGGUAGCAAACAGGAUUAGAUACCCUGGUAGUCCACGCCGUAAACGAUGAGUACUAAGUGUCGGGAUAAAACUCGGUACUGAAGUUAACACAUUAAGUACUCCGCCUGAGUAGUACGUACGCAAGUAUGAAACUUAAAGGAAUUGACGGGACUCCGCACAAGCGGUGGAUCAUGUUGUUUAAUUCGAAGAUACACGAAAAAUCUUACCAGGUCUUGACAUGCUCUGCAAAGCUAUAGAAAUAUAGUGGAGGUUAUCAGGGACACAGGUGGUGCAUGGUUGUCGUCAGUUCGUGUCGUGAGAUGUUAGGUUAAGUCCUAAAACGAGCGCAACCCUUGUCGUUAGUUACCAGCACGUAAUGGUGGGCACUUUAACGAGACUGCCAAUUAAACAUUGGAGGAAGGUGAGGAUUACGUCAAAUCAUCAUGCCCCUUAUGAUCUGGGCUACAAACGUGAUACAAUGGCUGUUACAAAGAGUAGCUGAAGCGCGAGUUUUUAGCCAAUCUCAAAAAAGC